Malania oleifera is the source of this 1407-nucleotide RNA transcript. It is a transcript of the gene named CST complex subunit STN1, with no coding region annotated. Lineage: Eukaryota; Viridiplantae; Streptophyta; Magnoliopsida; Santalales; Ximeniaceae. The record is from RefSeq and is a predicted model, not a curated record. The transcript is spliced from 4 exons.
UUUGAGAGAUUACCUAAGUUGAAUCCUAGUUACGCUGGAAUUUGGUCUUUCUCAUAUGGUGAAGCAAACCGAAUGAACGCUGGCAAUAUUGUCCGUAUCAACUCCGUUCUUGCCGUUCUCCUCGUCCCUGGCCUUGACACCGCCUACAUCGGGGACAGCAUCGGCCUGUAAUCUAGCUUCUAAGUCACCAUCGUUGUUGCCAGCGUUUUCGGCAUGGCUUGUCCAUGGUAGUCUGAUUGGCUCUACAAGCUGGCUCCCGGAGAGGUACACGCAGGCCGUGGCAGCCGGCGCUGCUGUUUCUGGCAAAGCAAGCUCUGGUGGUAAAGACUGACGAAGAAGAGAGAGUGGAAUAUAGCUUGUGAAAAAAGAAGAAACAAGAAGAAGAACAAAGCGCUCAAAUGGAUUCACUCUACAACAUUCAUGUAAAGCUCCUAGCAUUCGAUCUCCUCUCCCUCACCCCACAUCCCUCUCCAUCUUCAUCUACGUCUUCGUCUUCAGACCCAACUUCCUUCUCUCGCAAGGGUCGUGCCAUAUCCCGAGUGGAGGCUGUUGGCACUGUUGCCAGCCGAGAGCUAAAACCUGAUAAAUUCCUCAAAUUCACCAUCGACGAUGGCACCGGCUGCAUCCCCUGCGUUCUCUGGCUCAACCAGCUUAAGUCUCCAUAUUUCUCACGGCGCAACCCACCAGAUGUUCGACUAAUUGCCGAAAUCGCAGCCCAUUUUUCCGCGCAGAUACACCUUGGUGGUGUUGUGAGGGUCCGUGGCAGGAUCACUGCCUUUCGAGGUGCAUUGCAGAUUACUGUUUCAGAUGUUGUUGUUGAAAAAGACCCGAAUAUAGAAAUCUUGCAUUGGUUGGAUUGUAUCAAAUUGGCACAUAAGUGUUAUGACGUUAGGCCCACUGGUAAAGGACAAAGAUUGUGAUAGUUUUCAAUACCAUAUGCAUGUUGCACUUGAUGGACUCGGGAACUGGAUGUGCUAUUGAGAAUUCUGGUCUGUUGGUUGGCUCUUGGUGAAGGAUGAACAAGCCACUCUGGGUGGAACAGAGUACAUCAAAAUGGCCUGGUGAAAGGGAGUCCUUAUGGGUGGAGGGAAGAUAAAGAUAACGAAACAAAGGAGGACUCGUGAUUUGAUGGGCAACAUGCAGGCAAUGAAGGCUCAGAAAAAUGAAAGGGAAGGGAAGAAGACAGUGACAAGAUCUCUGUCCCCAGGUCAAUGAGAUGAAAUGCGAAAAAAUAAACAAAUAAAUCUCCCUCUCAUUUUCCACCCACGGUGAAAAGCUUCACAUCAAAUUGAACGAGUCAGUUCUCUUCUUUUUCAGCCCUGUGAUACAUUUAUAUUGUGUUGUACAAAAACCAUGUGAUAUUAUUGUUACUCCUUUCCUGCCCACGAACCACCAGUUAUUGACAAG